AUAUCAAUAAGCGGAGGAAAAGAAACUAACAAGGAUUCCCCUAGUAACUGCGAGUGAAGCGGGAAGAGCUCAAAUUUGAAAUCUGGCGGUCCCCGUGGCCGUCCGAGUUGUAACCUAGAGAAGUGCUAUCCGCGCUGGACCGUGUACAAGUCUCCUGGAACGGAGCGUCACAGAGGGUGAGAAUCCCGUCUUUGACACGGACUACCAGGGCUUUUGUGAUGCGCUCUCGAAGAGUCGAGUUGUUUGGGAAUGCAGCUCAAAAUGGGUGGUAAAUUCCAUCUAAAGCUAAAUAUUGGCGAGAGACCGAUAGCGAACAAGUACCGUGAGGGAAAGAUGAAAAGAACUUUGGAAAGAGAGUUAAACAGUACGUGAAAUUGUUGAAAGGGAAACGCUUGAAGUCAGUCGCGUUGUCCGGAAAUCAACCUUGGUUCUCCUGGGUAUACUUUCCGGUUAACGGGCCAGCAUCAGUUUCGAUCGGUGGAAAAAGUCCAAGGGAAUGUGGCAUCUUCGGAUGUGUUAUAGCCCUUGGUCGUAUGCACCGGUUGGGACUGAGGAAUUCAGCACGCCGCAAGGCCGGGGUUCGCCCACGUACGUGCUUAGGAUGCUGGCAUAAUGGCUUUAAUCGA
RNAcentral lists this ribosomal RNA (626 nucleotides) under uncultured fungus. Its description in RNAcentral is "eukaryotic LSU rRNA". It matches the Rfam family "Eukaryotic large subunit ribosomal RNA", at positions 40 to 647 of the family's 3401-position model. Lineage: Eukaryota; Fungi. The record is from RNAcentral.